AGUUGCAGCGACACAACCGGAAGUGACGUCGACGUCAAAAUAAGCUCAUACAAGCAACAGUGUAGCGCAGGUCAGUUUAUCCUUGUUUUAAUCUUUAGGAAAUAAAAAUACAACGAUGUCUUCGGAUUUUGAGACGUACGAACAGGAUUUUGGGACCCUUACGGCGGAAAUAACCAACAAAAUCGGAAGAAUACCCAAAUUAGCCGCUGAGGAGAAGACACAGCUGGUUCUAAAUGUCGACAAACAGCUUGAAGAAGUCAGAGAGUUGCUGGAGCAGAUGGAUCUGGAGGUUCGAGAGAUCCCCAUUCAGAGCAGAGGCAUGUACAACAGCCGUCUGAAGAGCUACAAGCAAGAGAUGGAAAAACUUGAGAAAGAUUUUAAAAGGUCACGUAUUGCCUACAGUGAUGAGGUGCGGAACGAGCUCCUGAGGGAGGACGGAGGCUCAUCGGAGACUCAGUUGAUAAAGUUACGUGAGGAGAGAGCACAUCUGUUGGACAACACAGAGAGACUGGAAAGGUCAUCUCGGAGGCUGGACGCCGGCUACCAGAUAGCUGUGGAAACCGAGCAAGUUGGACAGGAGAUCCUCACCAACCUCGCCACUGACCGCGAAAAGAUCCAGAGGUCCCGAGAUCGGCUGAGAGAGACGGACGCUAACCUGGGCAAAAGCUCUCGGAUCCUGACCGGCAUGCUGAGAAGAUCUAAACUGCUCUUUUCAAGCAGUGUGAAGGAUCAACUUGAAUUACCAGCAACCAGAAAUGAAGUUAGAGGACCAGAAGAAAGACUGUAGAUGAUAGACAGAAUUCAUGAAUGUGAAGAACGCUGUUGGCAUCGCUUCCACAAUGCCCAGCUCAGUCACAUUCAGGAUCAUUCAAAAUCGGAUCCUGGUCUUCAUCCUGGGCGCCAUCAUCCUCCUCACCAUCGUCUUGGCCCUCUAUUUCAAUUUGCGAGGGCACUGAUCUUCACUGACUGGCCCCGUGUGAGCGUGUGCGAGCGUGUACGAGAGGGUGUGUAAGAUUAAUAGUGACAAAAGCGUUGGGCUGGAGUAAUUAGGACAAAUUGUUCACAUGAAUCAUUCCUGGUGGGUAGUGACAGGGGGCCUCUCCUCUCUGCUCUCUCUCCCUCCGAGCGGAGAGGACCACGGCCUCAUAUUUAUACCUAUUACUUUUAAAACCCUUUGUGGGAUCUCCACGUGACCCAGACCCGUAGAACAGCCCUGCGUAGAUGUGUGGACCACAGGAGCGUGAUGGAAGGAUGACAAUGUCAGAUGGAUGAAGAACAAGAUCAAGAACAUCAAUUCAUGUCAUAACCUGCUGUUUUAAUGUUUUGUUUUCAUUUGUUGGGGGCUGAACACCAAUGUAGACUAGUAAAAUCCCAUCCAUCAGAUGUGUGUGUGACGUACACAAGGCAAAGCCCCCGGCACAGUACCGCUAAGCACACGGAGCAGAAUCACACAGCCCAAAGGUCACACGCCCGUUUCUCAGUUCCCCUUCAUCCAGGAUUAGUAGCUUCUCACGCUGUUCCUCUAAGGUCAGCAAAGACCUCGCAUGUGUUUAGUUAAACCAGCACGACCGCAUUGAACAAGGUAUCACCCGUGUCCACUUUUACCUUUACUAAUCAGAUCUGACAGCAUGAUAGUGUACUAAUAAGAAAUGUUUUCUGUAUUUAUUUGUCUCGUUUCAAAUGCUUGAUUGUACAGUGUUCUUCUGUAUGCUUUCUUUCAAUUGAUUUUAAUUUUAGCCGUUGGUGUAUGACAUUAAAAAUAUAUCAUUUGUCUUUACUGUAACAAUGCAAAUGUGCUUC
Molecule: RNA transcript, 1800 nt
Organism: Triplophysa rosa
Lineage: Eukaryota; Metazoa; Chordata; Actinopteri; Cypriniformes; Nemacheilidae
Gene: vti1a
Gene name: vesicle transport through interaction with t-SNAREs 1A
Exons: 10
Source: RefSeq, a predicted model, not a curated record